UAAACCAGCAGGCUGGGUGCAGGGCAGUGAUCAGAGUGGAUGGCUCAGGAAGCUAAGGCCAUAGCAUGUAAGAUCUUGCUUAUCCACAGGUAUCACUAUAUCCGGCAAUCCUGCUUCUUAAAACAUCGUCUCUACAGAGCUGCUUAUCCUGCUGGAAUGCUUUGUUGUUUCAGUUCUGCUUUGCAAUGAAGACUCAUUACUGUUUCUUAGUGUUUCUCUUUCUUGGCCUGCUGUCCAACUCAGGAAGUGAAGAUAUUCAAGAAGUAAACAGUACCCUGGACUGUAAAACUCAAGUGUUGUGUAGUUCUGAGAAUCCAAACGGAGACUGUUCUGACGUUCAAAAUGUGGGGCUGUGUGUCUUACGUCUUAGUCGAAUUCCUCAGCAAGACUUAAAAAAAUUGGAAACCAGGAAUGCAAGAGGAUCACCUCCUUUGAUGCAUUAAAUUAGAAAACAUA
Molecule: long non-coding RNA, 456 nt
Organism: Mastomys coucha (southern multimammate mouse)
Lineage: Eukaryota; Metazoa; Chordata; Mammalia; Rodentia; Muridae
Exons: 2
Source: RefSeq, a predicted model, not a curated record